This 71-nucleotide transfer RNA is filed under the name Loxodonta africana (African savanna elephant). It matches the Rfam family "tRNA". Rfam says of the family: Transfer RNA (tRNA) molecules are approximately 80 nucleotides in length. Their secondary structure includes four short double-helical elements and three loops (D, anti-codon, and T loops). Further hydrogen bonds mediate the characteristic L-shaped molecular structure. tRNAs have two regions of fundamental functional importance: the anti-codon, which is responsible for specific mRNA codon recognition, and the 3' end, to which the tRNAs corresponding amino acid is attached (by aminoacyl-tRNA synthetases). tRNAs cope with the degeneracy of the genetic code in two manners: having more than one tRNA (with a specific anti-codon) for a particular amino acid; and 'wobble' base-pairing, i.e. permitting non-standard base-pairing at the 3rd anti-codon position. Lineage: Eukaryota; Metazoa; Chordata; Mammalia; Proboscidea; Elephantidae. The record is from Rfam by way of RNAcentral.
GCAUUAGUGGUUCGGUGUUAAAAUUCUUCCCUUCCAUGGGGGAGAUCCAGGUUCAAUUCCCAGCCAAUGCA